This 253-nucleotide ribosomal RNA is filed under the name uncultured bacterium. RNAcentral describes it as "partial 16S ribosomal RNA". It matches the Rfam family "Bacterial small subunit ribosomal RNA", at positions 524 to 776 of the family's 1533-position model. The record is from RNAcentral.
GACGUAGGAUGCAAGCGUUGUCCGGAUUUAUUGGGCGUAAAGAGUUCGUAGGUGGUUUGUUAAGUCUGAUGUUAAAGACUGGGGCUCAACCUCGGAAAUGCAUUGGAUACUGGCAGACUUGAGUGUGGUAGAGGCAAUCGGAAUUCCAGGUGUAGCGGUGAAAUGCGUAGAUAUCUGGAAGAACACCGGUGGCGCAAGCGGAUUGCUGGGCCAUAACUGACACUGAGGAACGAAAGCUAGGGGAGCAAAUGGG